CCCAUCUCUACUGAAAAAUAUAAGUUAGCCGGGCAUGGUGGCAGGCGCCUUAAUUGUGGCUAUUUGGGAGGCAGAGGCAGGAGAAUCCUUGGAACCCGGGAGGUGGAGGUUGCAGUAAGCUGAGAUGGAGCCAUUGCACUCAAGCCUGGGGGACAAGGGCAAGACUUCUCUCAAAAAAAAAAUUUUUUUUUUAAUUUCUUGAUUCUAUUAGAGCAAGUCAUUUUUGCUUUCUGCUUUGAGAUCCUGAUCUCCCUGUAACAGACAAUGUAAGAGUAGUUUUUUCAUGACUCAGAAUCUGGCCUGGUUUAAUGCUAUAUUCAUACUAGAUGCUUUUGCAUUUUCUCUUUUUUAAACCAUUUAUUGCUUUUGUUUUUGUUUUUGUUUUUUGAGACAGAGUCUCUCUGUUGCCCAGACUGGAGUGCAGUGGCAUGAUCUGGCUCACCGCAGCCUCUGCCUCCCGUGUUCAAGUGAUUCUCCUGCCUCAGCCUCCUGCGUAGCUGGGAUUACAGGCGCCUGCCACCACACCUGGCUAAUUUUUGUAUUUUUAGUAGAGAUGGAGUUUCACCAUGGCCAAGCUGGUCUCAAACUCCUGGACUCAAGUGAUCCGCCUGCCUCCUAAAUUGCUGGAAUUACAGGCAUGAGCCAUCACACCCAGCCUUAAGCUAUUUAUUGACUUGUUGAGAGGAAAAACUCUAUCAAGAACAAUGGCAGCCUAGGCAACAUAGUAGGAUCCCAUUUCUAAGACAAUUUUAAAGUUAGCUCUUUGUGGUGAUACGCAGCUGAAGUUCCAGCUACUAAGAGGCUGAAGCGGGAGGAUAGUUUGAGCCCAAGAGUUUCAAGCUGUGGUGAGCUGAUUGUGUCACUGUACUCCAGCCUAGGUGACAGAGCAAG
This 891-nucleotide long non-coding RNA is filed under the name Homo sapiens (human). RNAcentral's name for it is "HSALNT0177092". Lineage: Eukaryota; Metazoa; Chordata; Mammalia; Primates; Hominidae. The record is from RNAcentral.